This 468-nucleotide ribosomal RNA is filed under the name uncultured bacterium. RNAcentral's name for it is "partial 16S ribosomal RNA". It matches the Rfam family "Bacterial small subunit ribosomal RNA", at positions 28 to 507 of the family's 1533-position model. The record is from RNAcentral.
GACGAACGCUGGCGGCGUGCUUAACACAUGCAAGUCGAACGGAAAGGCCCUGCUUUUGUGGGGUGCUCGAGUGGCGAACGGGUGAGUAACACGUGAGUAACCUGCCCUUGACUUUGGGAUAACUUCAGGAAACUGGGGCUAAUACCGGAUAGGAGCUCCUGCUGCAUGGUGGGGGUUGGAAAGUUUCGGCGGUUGGGGAUGGACUCGCGGCUUAUCAGCUUGUUGGUGGGGUAGGGGCUUACCAAGGCUUUGACGGGUAGCCGGCCUGAGAGGGUGACCGGCCACAUGGGGACUGAGAUACGGCCCAGACUCCUACGGGAGGCAGCAGUGGGGAAUAUUGCACAAUGGGCGGAAGCCUAAUGCAGCAACGCCGCGUGCGGGAUGACGGCCUUCGGGUUGUAAACCGCUUUCGCCUGUGACGAAGCGUGAGUGACGGUAAUGGGUAAAGAAGCACCGGCUAACUACGUG